Molecule: ribosomal RNA, 427 nt
Filed under: uncultured archaeon
Lineage: Archaea
Description: SSU rRNA
Rfam family: Archaeal small subunit ribosomal RNA
Source: RNAcentral
UGCUAUCGGGAUGGGUAUAAACCCUGCAAGUCUAAAUGGUAUAUUCAUGUCUAUACCAUUGGCAAAUCGCUCAGUAACACGUAGUUAAUCUACCCUGUGGAGGGGCAUAUCCACGGGAAACUGUGGUUAAUUCCCCAUAGGCCACGCGGACUGGAAUGUUGCGUGACCCAAAGGAUUUUCUGAGACUAUGUGAUGAAUUUCGCCAUAGGAUGAGACUGCGGCGGAUUAUGGUCGUUGGUGGGGUAACGGCCCACCAAGCCUUUGAUCCGUACGGGCCGUGAGAGCGGGAGCCCGGAGAUGGGAACUGAGAUACUGUCCCAAGCCCUACGGGGUGCAGCAGGCGCGAAACCUCCGCAAUGCACGCAAGUGUGACGGGGCCAUCCCGAGUGUCUUCGGACUUUUCUUCAGUGUAAGUAGCUGAAGGAAU